RNAcentral lists this ribosomal RNA (253 nucleotides) under uncultured bacterium. RNAcentral describes it as "partial 16S ribosomal RNA". It matches the Rfam family "Bacterial small subunit ribosomal RNA", at positions 524 to 776 of the family's 1533-position model. The record is from RNAcentral.
UACGUAGGGGGCAAGCGUUGUCCGGAUUUAUUGGGCGUAAAGCGCACGUAGGCGGCUUCGCAAGUCCCAUGUGAAAGCCCACGGCUUAACCGUGGAAGUGCAUGGGAAACUGCAGAGCUUGAGUACUUAAGAGGAUCGCGGAAUUCCCGGUGUAGCGGUGAAAUGCGCAGAUAUCAGGAGGAACACCAAUGGCGAAGGCAGCACUCUGGGACGUGACUGACGCUGAGACGCGAAAGCGUGGGGAGCAAACAGG